CGCUGGCGGCGUGCUUAACACAUGCAAGUCGAACGGAGUUGAGGAGCUUGCUCCUUAACUUAGUGGCGAACGGGUGAGUAACGCGUGAGGAACCUGCCUUUCAGUGGGGGACAACAGUUGGAAACGACUGCUAAUACCGCAUAAUGUUGUCGGAUGGCAUCAUCUGGCAACCAAAGCUUUAUGUGCUGAAAGAUGGGCUCGCGUCUGAUUAGCUAGUUGGUGGGGUAAUGGCCUACCAAGGCGACGAUCAGUAGCCGGACUGAGAGGUUGAACGGCCACAUUGGGACUGAGAUACGGCCCAGACUCCUACGGGAGGCAGCAGUGGGGAAUAUUGGGCAAUGGGGGCAACCCUGACCCAGCAACGCCGCGUGAAGGAAGAAGGUCUUCGGAUUGUAAACUUCUUUUGUCAGGGACGAUAGUGACGGUACCUGACGAAUAAGCCACGGCUAACUACGUG
This 457-nucleotide ribosomal RNA is filed under the name uncultured bacterium. RNAcentral's name for it is "bacterial SSU rRNA". It matches the Rfam family "Bacterial small subunit ribosomal RNA", at positions 34 to 507 of the family's 1533-position model. The record is from RNAcentral.